This 467-nucleotide ribosomal RNA is filed under the name uncultured bacterium. Its description in RNAcentral is "partial 16S ribosomal RNA". It matches the Rfam family "Bacterial small subunit ribosomal RNA", at positions 29 to 507 of the family's 1533-position model. The record is from RNAcentral.
ACGAACGCUGGCGGCGUGCUUAACCCCUGCAAGUCGAACGGAAAGGCCCUGCUUUUGUGGGGUGCUCGAGUGGCGAACGGGUGAGUAACACGUGAGUAACCUGCCCUUGACUUUGGGAUAACUUCAGGAAACUGGGGCUAAUACCGGAUAGGAGCUCCUGCUGCAUGGUGGGGGUUGGAAAGUUUCGGCGGUUGGGGAUGGACUCGCGGCUUAUCAGCUUGUUGGUGGGGUAGUGGCUUACCAAGGCUUUGACGGGUAGCCGGCCUGAGAGGGUGACCGGCCACAUUGGGACUGAGAUACGGCCCAGACUCCGACGGGAGGCAGCAGUGGGGAAUAUUGAACAAUGGGCGGAAGCCUGAUGCAGCAACGCCGCGUGCGGGAUGACGGCCUUCGGGUUGUAAACCGCUUUCGCCUGUGACGAAGCGUGAGUGACGGUAAUGGGUAAAGAAGCACCGGCUAACUACGUG